GGUCCAGUAGCACAGUGGUUAAUGCAUCAGAAUAUUGUAUGUCUUCCUAGUUUGGGUUAUUCUGAGAACCCUUGUUCAAUUCAAGGCUGGACCA
Molecule: non-coding RNA, 94 nt
Organism: Mycena rebaudengoi
Lineage: Eukaryota; Fungi; Basidiomycota; Agaricomycetes; Agaricales; Mycenaceae
Source: the annotation of a GenBank genome assembly